AUGGACAAAUUAACUCCUCCUGCCAGCCGCGGCAACAGCAGUUCACAAGAAAGCACGUUGACACCAGAGAAGACGGUAAACAUCCCAAUCCCAGCGACAGAAGAGAAGAAGGUUCUAACUGACCACAAACAAGAACAGGGACUAGAGGAAUUACAAAACCUCCUUGAUCUGGACCAAGAGGCCAUCAUGACGAAGUGCAGAUUACUCAUUGAAAAGUUGAACACUGCUAGUGUACUAGUAUUUCCUUCUACGUGUGAUGAAAAGCAGCAGCUUGAGGUCUACCAGCGGCUUUCCCGCUACUACAUCCAAGCCCUUGAGUUAUCUUCUUUUAGAGAGAAACUGGAGGAUGCACAAAGGAACAAGCAGUUGGACGCUCUGUAUGUUUAUGAAAAUAUUUUCCUUCAGCGCGUCAAACAGGAUCCUGAAUGGUAUUUCCAUCCUGAACAAUGCAAGCUUGCUGGUUUGGACGACUACCAGCGGCUAGUGCUUCGUGAUGAUCCAAUGUACGGAGAUUGGGAUGAGUACCGCCUGACUUACCAUACCUACCAGGGAGAUCUAGAAUAUGUCAAGUUCCGUGAGGAGAUAUCAGCGAAAAUUAAGUGGAUUGAAGAUGAAGCAGCACUCUUUGGGGAUCAGCGGAUGAGAAACGAGCUAGUGGCUCUCUUUCAAUCAUUGAAGAUUGCGCUGCAGUUUCGUGAUAUUCCUGGACGUUCAGUUAUGUCUGGCUUCAGAGAGCAUAUAAAUAACCUUCGGUUUGACUUCAAAGACAGGAAGGACUUGGUUGGUCUCUAUCUUGAGUUAUGGAAACGGGUUGCUAAGAAUAAGGUGAAUUUCGGUGAGGCUUUGAGGCAAUUGUAUAAAGAGGACAUUUUCCCCUCCCGCAGGGCUUUGAUCAAAUUUGCGCUGGAUAGCUGUCCAGACACAAGUUUGGUAAAAUAUAACUAUGAUACCUACGUGGAUGGCAUUGAUGAGAAGCUUCCGGAAGACGAAGCUCAUCCCUUGAUCAUGGAGGCCGUUAAGAAAAUGUUUAAGAAACGGAAGAACUAUUUGGAUUACACCAGAAAGAAGUUGGAAAUCGCAGCGCGCAUUGGGUUGAUUCCCACAACAGCCUAG
RNAcentral lists this ribosomal RNA (1113 nucleotides) under Triticum aestivum (bread wheat). Its description in RNAcentral is "partial small subunit ribosomal RNA". Lineage: Eukaryota; Viridiplantae; Streptophyta; Magnoliopsida; Poales; Poaceae. The record is from RNAcentral.